AGUGAACGCUGGCGGUAGGCCUAACACAUGCAAGUCGAACGGCAGCACAGUAAGAGCUUGCUCUUACGGGUGGCGAGUGGCGGACGGGUGAGGAAUACAUCGGAAUCUACUUUUUCGUGGGGGAUAACGUAGGGAAACUUACGCUAAUACCGCAUACGACCUACGGGUGAAAGCAGGGGAUCUUCGGACCUUGCGCGAUUGAAUGAGCCGAUGUCGGAUUAGCUAGUUGGCGGGGUAAAGGCCCACCAAGGCGACGAUCCGUAGCUGGUCUGAGAGGAUGAUCAGCCACACUUGAACUGUGACACGGUCCAGGCUCCUACAGGAGGCAGCAGUGGGGAAUAUUGGACAAUGGGCGCAAGCCUGAGCCAGCCAUACCGCGUGGGUGGAGAAGGCCUUCGGGUUGUAAAGCCCUUUUGUUGGGAAAGAAAAGCAGCAGGUUAAUACCCCGCUGUUCUGACGGUACCCAAAGAAUAAGCACCGGCUAACUUCGU
RNAcentral lists this ribosomal RNA (491 nucleotides) under uncultured bacterium. Its description in RNAcentral is "partial 16S ribosomal RNA". It matches the Rfam family "Bacterial small subunit ribosomal RNA", at positions 29 to 506 of the family's 1533-position model. The record is from RNAcentral.